RNAcentral lists this signal recognition particle RNA (298 nucleotides) under Aotus nancymaae (Ma's night monkey). RNAcentral describes it as "Metazoan signal recognition particle RNA (ENSANAG00000005108.1)". It matches the Rfam family "Metazoan signal recognition particle RNA". From Rfam's summary of the family: The signal recognition particle (SRP) is a universally conserved ribonucleoprotein. The record is from RNAcentral. Lineage: Eukaryota; Metazoa; Chordata; Mammalia; Primates; Aotidae.
GCCGGGUGCGGUAGCGCGUGCCUGUAGUCCCAGCUACUCAAGAGGCUGAGGUGGGAAGAUCGCUUGAGCCCAGGAGUUCUGGGCUGUAGUGCACCAUGCCAACUGGGUGUCCGCACUAAGUUCGGCAUCAAUAUGGUGACCUCCAGGAGCAGGGAACCAUCAGGUUGUCUAAGGAGGGGUGAACCGGCCCAGGUCGGAAACGGAGCAGGCCAAAACUCCCAUGCUGAUCAGUAGUGGGAUCACGCCUGUGAAUAGCCACUGCACUCCAGCCUGGGUAACACAGUGAGACCUCGUCUCU